This 305-nucleotide ribosomal RNA is filed under the name uncultured bacterium. RNAcentral's name for it is "bacterial SSU rRNA". It matches the Rfam family "Bacterial small subunit ribosomal RNA", at positions 337 to 634 of the family's 1533-position model. The record is from RNAcentral.
UCCUACGGGGGGCAGCAGUGGGGAAUAUUACGCAAUGGGCGAAAGCCUGACGCAGCGACGCCGCGUGAGGGAUGAAGGUCUUCGGAUCGUAAACCUUUGUCAGCAGGGAAGAACGGUCACUGUGCUAAUCAGCAGUGAAUUGACGGUACCUGCAAAGGAAGCACCGGCUAACUCCGUGCCAGCAGCCGCGGUAAUACGGAGGGUGCGAGCGUUAAUCGGAAUUACUGGGCGUAAAGCGCUCGUAGGCGGUAUGUCAAGUCAAGGGUGAAAUCCCCGCGCUCAACGUGGGAACUGCCUUUGAAACU